UCUCCCCCUGUAUCUAGCAGUCUCCCCCCUGUCUCUAGUCUCCCCCCUGUAUCUAGCAGUCUCCCCCGCCCCCCAUGCCGCCGCUUUGUGUCGGAGGGCAGGAACCCGUUGCCUUUAAGAAUCCGCCGCUGCAGGCUGGGAGAAUGCGAUCCGCCGAGCAUCCUGCCGGCUCCGUGUUAUACCGGGCUGGGGACCGGGGGAGCAGGAGGUAGAGCCGGGGAUACACAGCCUGACCGCAAGCAUGGAGCCACAGCCUGCCUGAGCCGAGCACGGACUCAGAGUGUGAGUGAGGGAAGCACUGAGUGAGGGUGUGAGUGAGGGAGGGUGGGAAGCAUUGAGUGAGAGAGUGAGGGUGGGA
This is a non-coding RNA of Pelobates cultripes (western spadefoot toad), 358 nucleotides long. The record is from the annotation of a GenBank genome assembly. NCBI's taxonomy places the organism in Eukaryota, Metazoa, Chordata, Amphibia, Anura, Pelobatidae.